This 444-nucleotide ribosomal RNA is filed under the name uncultured soil bacterium. Its description in RNAcentral is "bacterial SSU rRNA". It matches the Rfam family "Bacterial small subunit ribosomal RNA", at positions 26 to 518 of the family's 1533-position model. The record is from RNAcentral.
AGAACGAACGCUGGCGGCAUGCCUAAUACAUGCAAGUCGAACGAAGGCUUCGGCCUUAGUGGCGCACGGGUGCGUAACGCGUGGGAAUCUGCCCCUUGGUUCGGAAUAACAGUUGGAAACGACUGCUAAUACCGGAUGAUGACGAAAGUCCAAAGAUUUAUCGCCAAGGGAUGAGCCCGCGUAGGAUUAGCUAGUUGGUGAGGUAAAGGCUCACCAAGGCGACGAUCCUUAGCUGGUCUGAGAGGAUGAUCAGCCACACUGGGACUGAGACACGGCCCAGACUCCUACGGGAGGCAGCAGUAGGGAAUAUUGGACAAUGGGCGAAAGCCUGAUCCAGCAAUGCCGCGUGAGUGAUGAAGGCCUUAGGUGUAAAGCUCUUUUACCCGAGAUGAUAAUGACAGUAUCGGGAGAAUAAGCCCCGGCUAACUCCGUGCCAGCAGCCGC